Molecule: ribosomal RNA, 408 nt
Filed under: uncultured bacterium
Lineage: Bacteria
Description: partial 16S ribosomal RNA
Rfam family: Bacterial small subunit ribosomal RNA
Source: RNAcentral
GACGAACGCUGGCGGCGUGCUUAACACAUGCAAGUCGAACGAAGUGGCGCACGGGUGAGUAAUACGUGGGUAACCUGCCCUCCUUUUUGGGAUAAGCCUUGGAAACGGGGUCUAAUACCGAAUAAAGGGGGUUGGGCUCGCGGCCUAUCAGCUUGUGGGUGGGGUGAUGGCCUACCAAGGCGGUGACGGGUAGCCGGCCUGAGAGGGUGACCGGGAACUUUGGGACUGAGAUACGGCCCAGACUACGACGGGGGGCAGCAUUGGGGAAUAUUGCACAAUGGGUGAAAGCCUGAUGCAGCGUCUACGCGUGGGGGAUGAAGGCUGUAGGGUUGUAAACCUCUUUCGCAAUGGAACGGGUAGGUGGAGAAGAAGCGCCGGCUAACUACGUGCCAGCAGCCGCGGUAAUAC